Lagopus leucura (white-tailed ptarmigan) is the source of this 350-nucleotide long non-coding RNA. RefSeq lists it as uncharacterized. Lineage: Eukaryota; Metazoa; Chordata; Aves; Galliformes; Phasianidae. The transcript has 3 exons. The record is from RefSeq and is a predicted model, not a curated record.
CGCAGGGGCGGUGGAGAGUUCGGGCCUUCGAGGUACGGUGCUCCCGACAGCGGGUCCAUUUAAGUGUUUUGUACUAUUGUUAUCUGCAUUAAACCCUGAAUUCCAAGCAGCUUCCAGCUCGCGAUGCUGCGCGGCUGUCCGUAGGCAUCUACUCCCAUCCGGCACGUUCGUUCAGCCCGACGGGUGCAGCGCAAUCUCGGCUCAUUUUCUCUAAGCAGUACCAGGUCCCGGACGAGCUCCUCAGCCAGCUAUCCUCUCCAGCCAUGGACCUCCCAGGCUGCGCGCCGCCCGCCCUCUGAGGAAGCUCCUUCACCCCGCGCGGAGGAGCAGGAGGAGGAGGAGAAGGGAGG